GAUGAACGCUGGCGGCGUGCCUAAUACAUGCAAGUCGAGCGAACAGAUGAGGAGCUUGCUCCUCUGACGUUAGCGGCGGACGGGUGAGUAACACGUGGAUAACCUACCUAUAAGACUGGGAUAACUUCGGGAAACCGGAGCUAAUACCGGAUAAUAUAUUGAACCGCAUGGUUCAAUAGUGAAAGACGGUUUUGCUGUCACUUAUAGAUGGAUCCGCGCCGCAUUAGCUAGUUGGUAAGGUAACGGCUUACCAAGGCAACGAUGCGUAGCCGACCUGAGAGGUGGAACGGCCACACUGGAACUGAGACACGGUCCAGACCCCUACGGGAGGCAGCAGUGGGGAACCUUCGGCAAUGGGCGAAAGCCUAACGGAGCAACGCCGCGUGAGUGAUGAAGGUUUCCGGAUCUUAAACCUCUGUUAUUAGGAAAGAAAAAAUGUGUAAGUAACUAUGCACGUCUUGACGGUACCUAAUCAGAAAGCCACGGCUAACUACGUG
Molecule: ribosomal RNA, 497 nt
Filed under: uncultured bacterium
Lineage: Bacteria
Description: partial 16S ribosomal RNA
Rfam family: Bacterial small subunit ribosomal RNA
Source: RNAcentral